GGAACAGUAGCAAAGAUGGUCAAUGCUGCGGAUUGAAGAUCCGAAGAUACAGGUUCGAGUCCUGUCUGUUCCACCA
RNAcentral lists this transfer RNA (76 nucleotides) under Maribacter algarum (ex Zhang et al. 2020). RNAcentral's name for it is "Maribacter sp. RZ26 tRNA-Phe". It matches the Rfam family "tRNA". Rfam says of the family: Transfer RNA (tRNA) molecules are approximately 80 nucleotides in length. Their secondary structure includes four short double-helical elements and three loops (D, anti-codon, and T loops). Further hydrogen bonds mediate the characteristic L-shaped molecular structure. tRNAs have two regions of fundamental functional importance: the anti-codon, which is responsible for specific mRNA codon recognition, and the 3' end, to which the tRNAs corresponding amino acid is attached (by aminoacyl-tRNA synthetases). tRNAs cope with the degeneracy of the genetic code in two manners: having more than one tRNA (with a specific anti-codon) for a particular amino acid; and 'wobble' base-pairing, i.e. permitting non-standard base-pairing at the 3rd anti-codon position. Lineage: Bacteria; Pseudomonadati; Bacteroidota; Flavobacteriia; Flavobacteriales; Flavobacteriaceae. The record is from RNAcentral.